AAACGCUUUGUUCAAAGGUUAAACUGCUUUCCUGCCGAACUCCCCCCGGACGGACAUGUUUCCGUCACGGUUUUAACGGGUGGGUUGUCUGGAAUUUAUUUGAGUAGGGGAGGCGAAACUGAGCUGGGUUAAACACGGAUUGAGGCUGUUAAACUGUGUUUGACUGUUUCCAAGUCAUUUUUAUCAGCGCGUUUGUCGACGGAGGAACAGUUGGUUUUACAACUGGUUAAGAUGUAAACCAGUCGCAGGCAGUGACUCAGCCUCAUCAUGGACGAGGUUAAAGAGGCUGUCCAUCUGUGAUUCCCCCACAAGGGCUUCAUGGUCCAGAUCGAAAAUCUCAGCGGUGAUAUAAAGCGACGAGCAGAGAGUAAGAACCAGUUGUCUUUUUGGGGGGAAAUCUUGCCCUACAGCCAAACUUGUCCGCAACAACAUGGAGGACUCGUAACAUUUAUAGUAGUAGUAAUAAUAAUAAUAAUAAUAAUAAUAAUAAUAAUAAUAAUAAUAAUACUGAGAAGACUCGUCAUUAGAUAACGCUGUUGCUACGGUGAUGACCCCUCAGGAGUGGUGACCCCGCCAUGCAGCCACUUUCAGUCGCGCGUCGCCGCACUGUCACGCUGCGCGCUGUCCUGCUGCUGCAGUUUUUGGUCGUCAUGGCGACGAAGACGUCACAAGGAGCGGGGUGCGCCCCCCGGUGGCACGAAGCUGUAAAAGCGGUGUUAAAAGUCAUUGCUGAUCUCUCUAAAACUGGCAAUCCCAUAAACUGCACACUGUACACUCCAGACGUAACAGUGGUUGACAGCUGCAAGAAGACAGCAGUGGGAUGCUUCUCUGCUGAACUCAACGUGGUGAUGUUUGAGUUUCGCAUCCAGAAACCAAAAUGGAGUCUAAAGAGAAUUCUGCAAGGAAUUGAAAAUAGUAUGGUGGACACUGGUGCCUGUGCGCAGUGUGAGAGCUACCAGGAGAGGCCAGUGGAAGUCUUCCUUGAUAAUCUCAAGAAUUUCCUGCAGCACAUGCUCUCUCAAGAAGAGUGUGGCAGGUAGCACUGGGCCCUGAGCUCCACACAUUGCGCCCGGAGGGAUCAUUGCCCGCAAGGCUGCUUCUCAGUGGCCAGCCACUCCAAUGGUUCCACACAAGACUAUGUGGCGCUUGGAACGGGACCAAUUUGACUCAACACAGCCAGAGAGCGAGGUGGGAGCAGGCUUUGUAAAAAACAUCAGUUACCACAUUGCUGUGUACCUGUGGGAGAAGUUUCUUUGCUCCUGUCCAGCUGUUGAAGAGCCUGGCUGAUGGGUAGGGUUUUAGUUUGGGCUCGGCACUGUCUUCGUUUUGUAGGUCUGAUGUUUUUGUGUUGGCAUCUCUUUCAUUUUUAUGUCAUAAAACUAGUCGUACACAAAAACAAAACGCAGACGAAAUUCAACACGAAACGUAUUAGUAGGAUUCGACUGGUACGAUUUCCAACACAUAAGAUUCACAGGGACAGUGACCUGCAGAGACCCGAGGUGAAACACUCAGAGACAAACGUUUGUUUUUUUGUUCGAAACUAAAGAGGUCCCAGCAGUAUGACAUUUCUAUAUAGUUGUUUUUUCUUACUGGUAUGCAUACCACCCUACUUUAACCACUAUCCUGAUUCUCCCCUGGAUAUAGAGAAUAUUUUUGAAUUCUCUGGACAUAUAUUAUUAUUAUUAUUAUUAUUUAUUUCUUAGCAGACGCCCUUAUCCAGGGCGACUUACAAUUGUUACAAGCUAUCACAUUAUACAUUAUUUCACAUUAUACAGUUAUCACGUUAUUUUUUUUACAUACAAUUGCCCAUUUAUACAGGUUUUUUACUGGAGCAAUCUAGGUAAAGUACCUUGCUCAAGGGUACAGCAGCAGUGUCCCCUACCUGGGAUUGAACCCACGACCCUCCGGUCAAGAGUCCAGAGCCCUAACCACUACUCCACACUGCUGCCCACACGCGCAUAUAUAUAUAUACUUACUGUAAACUGUACUGUAUUUAAAUAUGAAUCUUGCAUUGUAACCCUGUACUGCCCUUUGAUACCUGUAAGUCAACGUGGAUAAUGACGUCUGCCAAAUAAAUAAAUAGCAAUACUACGACUACUACUGCUAGUAAUAAUAAUAAUGUAUACCACAGUGACAUCUGGUGGUCAGAUAGGUGUACUGUCUAAUAUAAAAUCACACGAGGCGCAGUUUGUACGCAACACUAAAUCAGCUGGUCUUUAUAAUAUUUGACUUUUUUGUAAAAGAAAGUGUUUUUAAAACAAAAGAUAGCGGAGGUUGAAAAUUAAAGUCAGAACGUGGUGGAGACGUUUUCAAAGUUCAUUGUAACAAUGAAAAAUGAGGACUUUUUUUUUUUUUUUAACAAGCUUACAAAAAACUGUAUCACGUCACAGUUCUGCGGGUGAUAUUCUGAAAUGGAAAUGCAUUAUAUUAAUGUGUGGUUGUAUUUAUAUUACCGUUGUUUUGUUCAAUAAAAAACAUUUUUCAAACCUA
Acipenser ruthenus (sterlet) is the source of this 2490-nucleotide RNA transcript. RefSeq lists it as uncharacterized. The record is from RefSeq and is a predicted model, not a curated record. The transcript is spliced from 7 exons. NCBI's taxonomy places the organism in Eukaryota, Metazoa, Chordata, Actinopteri, Acipenseriformes, Acipenseridae.